RNAcentral lists this ribosomal RNA (497 nucleotides) under uncultured bacterium. RNAcentral's name for it is "partial 16S ribosomal RNA". It matches the Rfam family "Bacterial small subunit ribosomal RNA", at positions 28 to 507 of the family's 1533-position model. The record is from RNAcentral.
GAUGAACGCUGGCGGCGUGCCUAAUACAUGCAAGUCGAGCGAACGGACGAGAAGCUUGCUUCUCUGAUGUUAGCGGCGGACGGGUGAGUAACACGUGGAUAACCUACCUAUAAGACUGGGAUAACUUCGGGAAACCGGAGCUAAUACCGUAUAAUAUUUUGAACCGCAUGGUUCAAAAGUGAAAGACGGUCUUGCUGUCACUUAUAGAUGGAUCCGCGCUGCAUUAGCUAGUUGGUAAGGUAACGGCUUACCAAGGCAACGAUGCAUAGCCGACCUGAGAGGGUGAUCGGCCACACUGGAACUGAGACACGGUCCAGACUCCUACGGGAGGCAGCAGUAGGGAAUCUUCCGCAAUGGGCGAAAGCAUGACGGAGCAACGCCGCGUGAGUGAUGAAGGUCCUCGGAUCGUAAAACUCUGUUAUUAGGGAAGAACAUAUGUGUAAGUAACUGUGCACAUCUUGACGGUACCUAAUCAGAAAGCCACGGCUAACUACGUG